AUUGAACGCUGGCGGCAGGCCUAACACAUGCAAGUCGAGCGAGCGGCGGACGGGUGAGUAAUGUAUGGGGACUGCCCGAUAGAGGGGGAUAACUACUGGAAACGGUGGCUAAUACCGCAUACUAUCGGAUAACCCAUAUGGGAUUAGCGAGUAGGUGGGGUAAAGGCUCACCUAGGCGACGAUCUCUAGCUGGUCUGAGAGGAUGAUCAGCCAAACUGGUACGGAGACCCGGCCCAGACUCCUACGGAGGCAGCAGUGGGGAAUAUUGGACAAUGGGCGCAAGCCGGAUGCAGCACUGCCGCUUGUAUGAAGAAGGCCUUAGGGUGGAAAAGUACUUUCAGCGGGGAGGCGUUACCCGCAGAAGAAGCACCGGCUAACUCCGUGCCAGCAGCCGCGGUAAUUC
This 403-nucleotide ribosomal RNA is filed under the name uncultured bacterium. RNAcentral's name for it is "partial 16S ribosomal RNA". It matches the Rfam family "Bacterial small subunit ribosomal RNA", at positions 30 to 526 of the family's 1533-position model. The record is from RNAcentral.